Molecule: small nucleolar RNA, 148 nt
Organism: Accipiter nisus (Eurasian sparrowhawk)
Lineage: Eukaryota; Metazoa; Chordata; Aves; Accipitriformes; Accipitridae
Source: Ensembl
CUUCGGUGAUGAUACGAUGACGAGUCAGAAGGGAUGUCCUUGUGUCAUUGCAGCCUGUUCAGUGCCAUGUUCUGUGGUGCUGUGCUAAGGCUGCCUUGGGCAGGAUGUCCUACUCAUUGGAUGAUUUAGAGGCAUUUGUCUGAGAAGG